UACGGAGGAUGCAAGCGUUAUCCGGAAUGAUUGGGCGUAAAGCGUCCGCAGGUGGCUGUGUAAGUCUGCUGUUAAAGAGUCUAGCUCAACUAGAUACAAGCAGUGGAAACUACACGGCUAGAGUACGUUCGGGGCAGAGGGAAUUCCUGGCGUAGCGGUGAAAUGCGUAGAGAUCAGGAAGAACACCGGUGGCGAAGGCGCUCUGCUAGGCCGUAACUGACACUGAGGGACGAAAGCUAGGGGAGCGAAUGGG
This 253-nucleotide ribosomal RNA is filed under the name uncultured bacterium. Its description in RNAcentral is "partial 16S ribosomal RNA". It matches the Rfam family "Bacterial small subunit ribosomal RNA", at positions 524 to 776 of the family's 1533-position model. The record is from RNAcentral.